Molecule: transfer RNA, 74 nt
Filed under: Clostridium botulinum
Lineage: Bacteria; Bacillati; Bacillota; Clostridia; Eubacteriales; Clostridiaceae
Description: tRNA-Glu
Rfam family: tRNA (bases 1-55)
About the family: Transfer RNA (tRNA) molecules are approximately 80 nucleotides in length. Their secondary structure includes four short double-helical elements and three loops (D, anti-codon, and T loops).
Source: RNAcentral
GGCCCCUUGGUCAAGCGGUCAAGACACCACCCUUUCACGGUGGUAACAGGGGUUCUAAUACAACCUAGUUGGUA